Molecule: long non-coding RNA, 934 nt
Filed under: Homo sapiens (human)
Lineage: Eukaryota; Metazoa; Chordata; Mammalia; Primates; Hominidae
Description: non-protein coding lnc-SENP6-3:9
Source: RNAcentral
AGAGCUACGGUGACACUUCGCGUGCGGUGUAGGCGCAUCUUCGCUCUGUUGGCCGUGGCUUUAGUAAGCACACACCUGCCUGCUACUCUGGUUAUCGUGGCGACGGCAGGUCUGGAUUGCCAGACAGGUUUUUCUUUUUACCUCGAGGCUUUCUCUGAAGGGAGUCGGAGCAUUUAAAAGGCGGCCUCAAGGUGGAUUGAGUCGGGGGAGGAUUAGCAGUAUUUGCUUAGGUUGUAAAACCGCGACUUUAUCUAAUAAAUCGCCAUUCAAGGUGCAAAUACAAACUUGGAACAGAGAUGUAAAUGAAUUCCUCAAGGUCAGAGACUGUUUUUAUUCAUUUCUACAUCUCCAACACCUGGCAAAGUGCCUCGGCCAUAAAAGAUAAUCUGCCUCUGAAACCUUCCGUGGGCACAGAAAUUUCUGCAAGGAAAGCAUCAGCAACCAGAAUAAUUUGGUGAGGAAGAUUUGGCACAGAAUACCCUGACUGAGGUAUUGCUCCAAAAGGAGCAAUCCUCUGGGGUUAGGAGUCAAUUAUUAGGUGCCUACAAAACACUCUGUUAUUUCGACUAAACAUGCCUUGCUGUCAAGGAGAAGAAAGAACUGUGCACUGAAAACCAGAACAGCCAAAAAAGAAUGUGGCUGUGGUCAUGGGAAAGGUCUUUGAAUAACAGGGAAAAGGAGACAGGGCAGUUGAAGGAAGGAUAAGAAAAGGCUACUUCCUAGCAGGAAUUAAUAAACUAAUGUUUUUAUUAUUUAAUAGAAACCCAUUCCUUUCUUUCAAAUAAGGCAGAGAUAAGUUAGGAUUGGAUGUAGCUAUAUAGAUCCCUAUUUCUGGCACAGGCUGAUAGCAAUAAAGGAAGUCAGAACACAACCCCACUCUCACCCACAUCCCACUUUGCAAAAACCAUGACCCAAAUGCCUCUGUAGAUACUGG